CACGUAGGGUGCGAGCGUUGUCCGGAAUUAUUGGGCGUAAAGAGCUCGUAGGCGGUGUGUCGCGUCGGCCGUGAAAACCUGCAGCUUAACUGUGGGCGUGCGGUCGAUACGGGCAUCACUGGAGUUCGGCAGGGGAGACUGGAAUUCCUGGUGUAGCGGUGAAAUGCGCAGAUAUCAGGAGGAACACCGGUGGCGAAGGCGGGUCUCUGGGCAGUAACUGACGCUGAGGCGCGAAAGCGUGGGGAGCGAACAGG
RNAcentral lists this ribosomal RNA (254 nucleotides) under uncultured bacterium. RNAcentral describes it as "partial 16S ribosomal RNA". It matches the Rfam family "Bacterial small subunit ribosomal RNA", at positions 524 to 776 of the family's 1533-position model. The record is from RNAcentral.